GGAGCAUGUGGUUUAAUUCGAUGCAACGCGAAGAACCUUACCUACUCUUGACAUCCAGAGAAUUCGCUAGAGAUAGCUUAGUGCCUUCGGGAACUCUGAGACAGGUGCUGCAUGGCUGUCGUCAGCUCGUGUUGUGAAAUGUUGGGUUAAGUCCCGCAACGAGCGCAACCCUUAUCCUUGUUUGCCAGCACAUAAUGGUGGGAACUCCAGGGAGACUGCCGGUGAUAAACCGGAGGAAGGUGGGGACGACGUCAAGUCAUCAUGGCCCUUACGAGUAGGGCUACACACGUGCUACAAUGGCGUAUACAGAGGGCUGCAAACUAGCGAUAGUAAGCGAAUCCCACAAAGUACGUCGUAGUCCGGAUUGGAGUCUGCAACUCGACUCCANGAAGUNNNAAUCGC
RNAcentral lists this ribosomal RNA (402 nucleotides) under Photobacterium sp. AZTITEMP140. Its description in RNAcentral is "bacterial SSU rRNA". It matches the Rfam family "Bacterial small subunit ribosomal RNA", at positions 934 to 1335 of the family's 1533-position model. Lineage: Bacteria; Pseudomonadati; Pseudomonadota; Gammaproteobacteria; Vibrionales; Vibrionaceae. The record is from RNAcentral.